This 418-nucleotide ribosomal RNA is filed under the name uncultured Anaerolineaceae bacterium. Its description in RNAcentral is "bacterial SSU rRNA". It matches the Rfam family "Bacterial small subunit ribosomal RNA", at positions 956 to 1382 of the family's 1533-position model. Lineage: Bacteria; Bacillati; Chloroflexota; Anaerolineae; Anaerolineales; Anaerolineaceae. The record is from RNAcentral.
GCUACACGAGAACUUACCGAGGUUUGACAUUACAAGUGGUAGAGAAAGGCGAAACGCGGGACCGACCCUUCGGGAGCUUGUUACAGGUGCUGCAUGGCUGUUCGUCAGUCUCGUGUCGUGAGAUUGUUCGGUUAAGUCCGCUAACGAGCGCAACCCUCGCUGUGUGUUACAAGUGUCACACGGGAACUGCCGGUCAUAACGGAGAAGGUGGGAUGACGUCAAGUCAGCAUGGCCUUUAUAUCCUGGGCUACACACACGCUACAAUGGGAAGGGACAAUAGGUUGCGAAGCCGCGAGGUGGAGCCAAUCCAGCAAAACUUCCCUCAGUUCAGAUUGCAGGCUGCAACUCGCCUGCAUGAAGUUGGAGUUGCUAGUAAACGCAGGUCAGCCAUACUGCGUUGAAUACGUUCCCGGGGCUU